This 1761-nucleotide long non-coding RNA is filed under the name Homo sapiens (human). RNAcentral describes it as "HSALNT0408574". Lineage: Eukaryota; Metazoa; Chordata; Mammalia; Primates; Hominidae. The record is from RNAcentral.
UGGCGCCGUGGGAAAGCGCGCUGGUUUCUGCCAAAUGCAGUUAGCUUUGCUUCGCUUCCCUAAGUGCGUUCCCCCAGGGGCCCGGCAGUGUGCUAGGGGCACCCUGCUUCGUAAGUGAGGCAGACAGCCCGUGAUAAAUGCCAAAGUAGAAGCCCCUCCGAAAAAUUAAGGAGCCGAUUGGGCGGGACUAACCCUAAGGGAGGGCAGGGGAAGCGACCGUCACCUCCGGGCGCCGGGGACUCGGAACGCCGGGUCGGAGCUCGGCAGGCGGAGACACUAUCUGUUCUGUUGCAAUGCAAAAGGAUGAAAGUAACAGUGGCUGCUGCUUAUGGGGCUUGAUAGUUACUAUGUAGCUGCAUGUAUUAAUUCAAGCCUCACUGUGAGCUUACCAUGUUUUACCAGUGACCUUUUGAAUCUUCACCAGAACACUACAAGAGACGGGGUCUCACCACAUUGUCCAGGCUGAUCUCGAACUCCUGACUUCAAGCGAUCUCACCUCGGCCUCCCAAAGUGCUGGGAUUACAGGCAUAAGCCACCGUGCCUGGCCAAUUAUAGUCUCGCUCUUGUCGCCUAGGCUGGAGUGCAGUGGCACGAUCUCGGCUCACUGUAACCUCCGCCUCCCAGGUUCAAGCAGUUCUCCUGCCUCAGCCUCUGGAGUAGCUGGGAUUACAGACACCUACCACCAUGCCCGCUAAUUUUUGUAUUUUUAGUAGAGACGGGGUUUCGCCAUGUUGGCCAGGCUGGUCUCCAACUCCUGACCUCAGGUGAUCUGCCCGCCUCAGCCUCCCAAAGUGCUGGGAUUACAGGCAUGAGCCACCACGCCUGGUCAGCAAACUUUUUCUGAUAGUAAAUAUUUUAGGCUUUGCAGAUGACAUACAGUGUCUGUUGCGACUACUCAACUCUGCUGUUGCAGGAUGAAAGCUGCAGGACAAUAUGUAAAUGAACGGUGUGGCUGGGUUCCAAGAAAACUUUAGUUACAGAUACUAAAAUUUAAAUUCAAUAGAAUUGUCAUGUGUCCCAAAAUAUUCUUUUGAUUUUUUUCAACCAUUCAAAAAUACAGAAACCAUUCUUAGCUCUCAGGCUGUACAAAAACACGCAGUGGCCAGGUUUGGUCCAUAGGCUGUAAUUUGCUGAGCCUAGGCCUAGAUAAUUAUGUCAAGACUCUCCUCUCCCUCCUCAAACCUGCAACCCUUCUUCCUCCAUUCUCACACUCAGUUGAGGACCUGGCUUCCUAGUCACUGAGAAAAUUUAAGCAAUCACAAGAGAACUCCCACAGCCCAUCCACACAUGCUAUCUGCCAACACCUCCACGUGACUAUUCCCCCAUCCCUCUGUUACUGUGAAUGAAACGUUUGAACUAUGUCCGGCCUGUCUGCUCGCUUGUGCCCUAGAUCCAAACCUCUCUCGCCCAUUCAACAACCCUGCUCUGACUAGUCUUCCCUUUCUGUCCUUGCUGUUCACUGCAUUAUUCCCAUCAACAUACAAAUAAAUAUGCUGUCAUCUUAAAAAAGCUGCUUUUUACUCCAACUCCCUUGCCAGCUACUUCUUCUUCUCCUUCCCUUUACAACAAAACCCUGGUAAAGAUUUGUCUUCAUUCACUGUUUCCAACUUCUCUCCCAUUCUUUAAGUGAGAUACAAUUCACGUAAUAUGAAAAUCACCGUUUUUUUAUUUUAUUUUAUUUUUGAGACAGAGUCUUGCUCUGUCAGGCUGGAGUGCAAUGGCGUGAUCUCAGCUCACUGCAACCUCGGCCUCCCGAGUUCA